Molecule: ribosomal RNA, 253 nt
Filed under: uncultured bacterium
Lineage: Bacteria
Description: partial 16S ribosomal RNA
Rfam family: Bacterial small subunit ribosomal RNA
Source: RNAcentral
UACGUAGGGGGCAAGCGUUGUCCGGAAUCAUUGGGCGUAAAGAGCGCGUAGGCGGCCCUGUAAGUCCGCUGUGAAAGUCAAGGGCUCAACCCUUGAAUGCCGGUGGAUACUGCAGGGCUAGAGUCCGGAAGAGGCGAGUGGAAUUCCUGGUGUAGCGGUGAAAUGCGCAGAUAUCAGGAGGAACACCGAUGGCGAAGGCAGCUCGCUGGGACGGUACUGACGCUGAGGCGCGAAAGCCAGGGGAGCGAACGGG